UACAGAGGGUGCAAGCGUUGUUCGGAAUUACUGGGCGUAAAGCGUGCGUAGGUGGUGAGUUAAGUCUGUCGUGAAAGCCCCGGGCUCAACCUGGGAAUGGCGAUGGAUACUGGCUCGCUAGAGUGCGGUAGAGGGUGGUGGAAUUCCCGGUGUAGCAGUGAAAUGCGUAGAGAUCGGGAGGAACAUCAGUUGCGAAGGCGGCCACCUGGACCAGCACUGACACUGAGGCACGAAAGCGUGGGGAGCAAACAGG
RNAcentral lists this ribosomal RNA (253 nucleotides) under uncultured bacterium. RNAcentral's name for it is "partial 16S ribosomal RNA". It matches the Rfam family "Bacterial small subunit ribosomal RNA", at positions 524 to 776 of the family's 1533-position model. The record is from RNAcentral.